This 253-nucleotide ribosomal RNA is filed under the name uncultured bacterium. RNAcentral describes it as "partial 16S ribosomal RNA". It matches the Rfam family "Bacterial small subunit ribosomal RNA", at positions 524 to 776 of the family's 1533-position model. The record is from RNAcentral.
UACGUAGGGGGCAAGCGUUAUCCGGAUUUACUGGGUGUAAAGGGAGCGUAGGCGGCGAUGCAAGUCAGAAGUGAAAGCCCGGGGCUCAACUCCGGGACUGCUUUUGAAACUGUAUGGCUAGAUUGCAGGAGAGGCAAGUGGAAUUCCUAGUGUAGCGGUGAAAUGCGUAGAUAUUAGGAGGAACACCAGUGGCGAAGGCGGCUUGCUGGACUGUAAAUGACGCUGAGGCUCGAAAGCGUGGGGAGCAAACAGG